UGAGGAAUAUUGGUCAAUGGACGGAAGUCUGAACCAGCCAAGUAGCGUGCAGGAUGACGGCCCUAUGGGUUGUAAACUGCUUUUAUGCGGGGGUAAAGUGAGUGACGUGUCAUUCAUUGCAAGUACCGCAAGAAUAAGGACCGGCUAAUUCCGUGCCAGCAGCCGCGGUAAUACGGAAGGUCCUGGUGUUAUCCGGAUUUAUUGGGUUUAAAGGGAGCGUAGGCCGUCAGGCAAGCGUGUUGUGAAAUGUCGUGGCUCAACCAUGGACUUGCAGCGCGAACUGCCCGACUUGAGUGCGCAGAAAGCAGGCGGAAUUUGUGGUGUAGCGGUGAAAUGCUUAGAUAUCACGAAGAACCCCGAUUGCGAAGGCAGCCUGCUGUAGCGCUACUGACGCUGAAGCUCGAAAGUGCGGGUAUCGAACAGGAUUAGAUACCCUGGUAGUCCGCACGGUAAACGAUGGAUGCCCGCUGUUCGGUUUUCGGACCGAGCGGCUAAGUGAAAACGUUAAGCAUCCCACCUGGGGAGUACGCCGGCAACGGUG
RNAcentral lists this ribosomal RNA (541 nucleotides) under uncultured bacterium. RNAcentral describes it as "bacterial SSU rRNA". It matches the Rfam family "Bacterial small subunit ribosomal RNA", at positions 355 to 896 of the family's 1533-position model. The record is from RNAcentral.